RNAcentral lists this ribosomal RNA (275 nucleotides) under uncultured prokaryote. RNAcentral describes it as "partial 16S ribosomal RNA". It matches the Rfam family "Bacterial small subunit ribosomal RNA", at positions 524 to 798 of the family's 1533-position model. The record is from RNAcentral.
UACGGAGGGGGCUAGCGUUGUUCGGAAUUACUGGGCGUAAAGCGCACGUAGGCGGAUCAGCCAGUCAGGGGUGAAAUCCCGGGGCUCAACCCCGGAACUGCCCUUGAUACUGCUGGUCUGGAGUUCGAGAGAGGCGAGUGGAAUUCCGAGUGUAGAGGUGAAAUUCGUAGAUAUUCGGAGGAACACCAGUGGCGAAGGCGGCUCGCUGGACGAUAACUGACGCUGAGGCGCGAAAGCGUGGGGAGCAAACAGGAUUAGAUACCCGGGUAGUCCCU